RNAcentral lists this ribosomal RNA (492 nucleotides) under uncultured bacterium. RNAcentral's name for it is "partial 16S ribosomal RNA". It matches the Rfam family "Bacterial small subunit ribosomal RNA", at positions 29 to 507 of the family's 1533-position model. The record is from RNAcentral.
AGUGAACGCUGGCGGUAGGCCUAACACAUGCAAGUCGAACGGCAGCACAGUAAGAGCUUGCUCUUACGGGUGGCGAGUGGCGGACGGGUGAGGAAUACAUCGGAAUCUACUUUUUCGUGGGGGAUAACGUAGGGAAACUUACGCUAAUACAGCAUACGACCUACGGGUGAAAGCAGGGGAUCUUCGGACCUUGCGCGAUUGAUUGAGCCGAUGUCGGAUUAGCUAGUUGGCGGGGUAAAGGCCCACCAAGGCGACGAUCCGUAGCUGGCCUGAGAGGAUGAUCAGCCACACUGGAACUGAGACACGUCCCAGACUCCUACGGGAGGCCGCAGCGGGGAAUAUUGCACAAUGGGCGCAAGCCUGAUCCAGCCAUACCGCGUGGGUGAAGAAGGCCUUCGGCUUGUAGAGCCCUUUUGUUGGGAAAGAAAAGCAGCAGGUUAAUACCCCGCGGUUCUGACGGUACCCAAAGAAUAAGCACCGGCUAACUUCGUG